RNAcentral lists this ribosomal RNA (89 nucleotides) under Klebsiella pneumoniae. The record is from RNAcentral. RNAcentral also lists the same sequence under 8 other names. Lineage: Bacteria; Pseudomonadati; Pseudomonadota; Gammaproteobacteria; Enterobacterales; Enterobacteriaceae.
CCUGGCGGCACUAGCGCGGUGGUCCCACCUGACCCCAUGCCGAACUCAGAAGUGAAACGCCGUAGCGCCGAUGGUAGUGUGGGGUCUCC